Molecule: non-coding RNA, 1986 nt
Organism: Macaca mulatta (Rhesus monkey)
Lineage: Eukaryota; Metazoa; Chordata; Mammalia; Primates; Cercopithecidae
Source: RefSeq, a predicted model, not a curated record
UUUAACAAAGAAUUGGACAAAACACACAAAGCAACAAAAGAAGCAACAAAAGCAUAGAUGUAUUGAAACAAAAAUACACCUGCAGGCUCAAGCAAGGCUCAAAAGCAAUAGCCACAGAAUUUUCUGGGGUUUAAAUGCUCUCUAGAUACUUCCCAUUGGUUACUUGGUUUAUAUCGUAUGAAGUAGUGGCCCAUGACCAGUCUGAUUGGUUGUGGAAGGUGGCCAAGCAGAGGCUGAAGUAAAGUUACAAAGUUACGCUCUGUGCAGACAUCUGAUGGGUUGCUGGAGGGAACCAAUCAGAGGUCCUUUCCAUUUUUCAUCUGCAACACAGAAAGUUGGGAGGAGUUGCAAAGGGAGUAGCCUCCGACCCUUUGUUACGUGGGCGUGGAAAUUUAGGGUUUUACUUUUGAUUCAAUUCAUGAAGUCAGCAUGAAUCAGCCUUAGGCUCCCUGCCCCCAGACCCUAUUCUCCUGCCUCACUGGCAACCAUGGAUCUUUAUCCUGUCACCAUAGUUUUGCCUUUUCCAGAAUGUCAUAGUUGGGGUCAUUCACUAUAUAACCUUUUCUGACUGACUGCUUUCACUAAGCAACGUGCAUCUUGUAUAUCUUCACAGCACCCUCUCACGUUUCCCCCAGGCUGGAGAUGUUGAGUUUAUCUGAAUUUGUCUCAUGUCGUCCUGCUCCUCCUUCCUUGUAACUCUCUCGCCUGCAGCCUCUGUUAUUUCUUCCUCUGAAGGCCCACACUUACUUAUCUACCCUCCUCCCUGGGCCAUGCCCUGCAUACCAUACCUCAAUCAUGUCAUUCUGGAUUCUGUUUACUGUCAGUCUUUCUGUAUGGCAUAGACAUCCCUCUUGACUGGCCUGUGAAGACAGCCUCUUUCCUCAUUUCAUGCUCCUAAUGGAGAAGCCACUGCAAGAUAUUUAAUGUCCUUCACCUGAUUUUCCAUGGCCAGGCAAAACCCGGACACAACUCAGCCACCCAAUGACUUCUUGCCUGCUUCUCAUCCUCAAAUACCCUUCAUUGGGCUAUCGUUUCUUUUCAAAACAUCCUCCCAUGAGGGAUUCCACAGUGACUUCCCAGAGGAACCACAGAGCUGGGAUGAGGACAAUGCAAGAAUGAGAGUGCUGGGUGUGAGGGCACCAGGUGUGAGGGUGCUGGGUGCAUGUAAGGGUCUUGCCCAGGAGGGAAGAGAGGUUUUGAUUGAGAGGAGGGAAAAAUCCUCUCAGAAGUCAAGGGAUGGCCACAGAGUAUAGUUAAUGUGUUGCCAAAGGAUCCUUGUGUCCUCAUGUGCUCAGAGAGUGAUGCAUGGGAACUUGACGUAGGCCUUAGUAGUGUUGACUGUGGUGCCAUGCAACCAUAAUGAACAGAGUGACAAGCAGAGGAGGGAUCUUUAGGACCUGGACAAGGAUCCUAAGCUGGGAGCCUCUGCCACUCAUUUUUGGAGGCUCCGUAUCUUCAACAGUGAGGAAUCCCCACCACCACAAUAACAAGGAUGGCAAGAUCAACCAUGUUUUGUAAUGUCGGUGCCAGACACUGUGUGAGGCUCACAUAGUGAUUCAUUGAUGCCUCAAAAUAAAUCUUGUAGGAUAAACAUUCUUUCUUCUGGCUACAGCAAGGAAAGUGAACCUCUAAGAGGCUAAGGACCUGUCUGAAGUGGCAAACAGUGAAGCCCAGGUGCAGCCAGUCAUGCUGCCCAUGCUGCGUCGGAGACCAUGCAGUCUUUUCUGGAGAGUCUAUUGGGUCAAUUCUGGAAUGCUUAAAUAACUUUUUCUGUUUGCAGCGUGAAGAAAUGGUAGAAUUGGUGCAUUAAGAAUAUGAAGUCAGUAUUGAUGUUUGAGAUGCAAUUAUGAGAUCCAGAAGUGGAGCAGAAACAUAUUCUAGGACUAAGCACCAGUUAGGAGUCUGUGUUUGUUUCCUGUGGCUGCUGUAAAAAAUUACCACCAACCUGCUGGCUUAAAACAAUGCAAAUUUAUUCUCUAAAAGUUA